RNAcentral lists this ribosomal RNA (708 nucleotides) under Triticum aestivum (bread wheat). RNAcentral's name for it is "partial small subunit ribosomal RNA". Lineage: Eukaryota; Viridiplantae; Streptophyta; Magnoliopsida; Poales; Poaceae. The record is from RNAcentral.
AUGAACAUUGUUCUCCUGACCCGUUGGCUUUGGCAUAUCGCCAAUGGGGAGGGAGGACUCUGGCUUACCAUCAUCCGUAAUAAGUACCUCAGGGGCCAACCUCUUGCCUUUUGCCAGCGCUCUGGUGGAUCCCAGUUCUGGUAGUCGGUGAUCCAGCUUCUGCCCGUCCUCCGCAUUGGCACGUCCAUCUCGGUUGGCUCCGGGUCAUCGACCCUGUUCUAGUUCGAUCGUUGGUUAGGAGACUCCCCCCUCGCUGCGCGAUUCCCAGAACUAUUCGCCAUUGCGGUUGGCCCUCGGGUCUCUGUCGAGACGGCCCUUAUUGACUUGGGGCAUCUCGCUUUCCGGCGCCCCUUCGCCCCCUCUGAGGUGGCUGCUUGGGACUCCCUCCUCCAGGACAUCGACCUUAUGCCGAUGGACAUCGAGGGUGCCCCGGAUUCCCUCUCCUGGCGCCUUGAGCCGUCUGGCCGCUUCUCCACGAAGUCCCUGUACGCCGCCAUUGCUCCCUCGGCGGCUCCGGAGCCUUUCAGCCUGAUUUGGGACAUCCGCCUACCUCUGAAGAUCAGGAUUUUCCUGUGGCAAUGGAUCCAUGGACGCCUCCUCUCUGGGGUUAAAGUCCUCAAGCGUAAUGGUCCGGGCGAUGGGAUGUGCCCCAUUUGUGGCACGAUAGAAGAUGCUAACCACAUCUUCUUCUCCUGCUCCACUGCCUAG